This 253-nucleotide ribosomal RNA is filed under the name uncultured bacterium. RNAcentral's name for it is "partial 16S ribosomal RNA". It matches the Rfam family "Bacterial small subunit ribosomal RNA", at positions 524 to 776 of the family's 1533-position model. The record is from RNAcentral.
UACGGAGGAUCCAAGCGUUAUCCGGAAUCAUUGGGUUUAAAGGGUCCGUAGGCGGCCUUAUAAGUCAGUGGUGAAAUCUCCUAGCUCAACUAGGAAACUGCCAUUGAUACUGUAAGGCUUGAAUUUUUGUGAAGUAACUAGAAUAUGUAGUGUAGCGGUGAAAUGCUUAGAUAUUACAUGGAAUACCAAUUGCGAAGGCAGGUUACUAACAAACGAUUGACGCUGAUGGACGAAAGCGUGGGGAGCGAACAGG